UGGGGAAUAUUGCACAAUGGACGGAAGUUUGAUGCAGCGACGCCGCGUGGAGGGUGUAGGCCUUCGGGUUGUGAACUCCUUUUUCUCGCGAAAAAGGCACAGUUUUGGCUGUGUUGAUGGUAGUGGGGGAAGAAGCGCCGGCUAACUACGUGCCAGCAGCCGCGGUAAUACGUAGGGCGCGAGCGUUGUCCGGAUUUAUUGGGCGUAAAGAGAUCGUAGGUGGUUCGUCGCGUCUGUCGUGAAAGCCAGCAGCUUAACUGUUGGUCUGCGGUGGGUACGGGCGGGCUUGAGUGCGGUAGGGGUGACUGGAAUUCCUGGUGUAGCGGUGGAAUGCGCAGAUAUCAGGAGGAGCACCGAUGGCGAAGGCAGGUCACUGGGCCGUUACUGACACUGAGGAGCGAAAGCGUGGGGAGCGAACAGG
RNAcentral lists this ribosomal RNA (421 nucleotides) under Fusobacteriota bacterium. RNAcentral describes it as "Fusobacteria bacterium partial 16S ribosomal RNA". It matches the Rfam family "Bacterial small subunit ribosomal RNA", at positions 355 to 776 of the family's 1533-position model. Lineage: Bacteria; Fusobacteriati; Fusobacteriota. The record is from RNAcentral.